GAUGAACGCUGGCGGCGUGCCUAACACAUGCAAGUCGAGCGAACAGACGAGGAGCUUGCUUCCCUGACGUACGCGGCGGACGGGGGUGUAAAAUGUGGAUAACACACCCAUAUGACGGGGAUAACCUAGGGAAAACGGUGGCAAUAACGGAAUAUAGUCUGAAGCGCAUGGAGGAAGAGCUUAAGACGGUUUGGCAUCCAAUGUUCGAAGGUUCCGUGAGGGAUUAGCUAGUGGGUCGGGUAACGGCUUACCAAGGCAACGAUUCGUAGCCGACCUGAGAGGGUGAUCGGCCACACUGGAACUGAGACACGGUCCAGACUCCUACGGGAGGCAGCAGUGGGGAAUCUUCCGCAAUGGGCGAAAGCCUGACGGAGCAACGCCGCGUGAGUGAUGAAGGUCUUCGGAUCGUAAAACUCUGUUAGUGGGGAAGAACAAAUGUGUAUGUAACUAUGCACGUCUUGACGUUACCUGAACAGAAAGCCACGGCUAACUACGUG
Molecule: ribosomal RNA, 497 nt
Filed under: uncultured bacterium
Lineage: Bacteria
Description: partial 16S ribosomal RNA
Rfam family: Bacterial small subunit ribosomal RNA
Source: RNAcentral